UAGGUUGAAAACUGAGGGGAUGACUUGUGGGGAGGAGUGAAAGUCUAAUCAAACCUGGAGAUAGCUCGUUCUCUGCGAAAUAUCUUUUGGGAUAGCGUCAGGUAAAUUGUGACACGGGGGUAGAGAUACUGAAUUGGAUGAGGGCCCUUCCCGGGGUACCUCACUGAACCAAACUCCGAAUACCGUGUUAUAUACCCUGGCAGUCAGUCCGUGUGGGAUAAGCUGCACGGUCGAAAGGGAAACAACCCAGACCAUCGUCUAAGGUCCCGAAGUAAUGCUCAGUCACUAAGGAAGUUAGUUUGCUGAGACAGCCAGGAUGUUGGCUUAGAAGCAGCCACCAUUUAAAAAGUGCGUAACAGCUUACUGGUCGAGCAGGCUUGCGCCGAUAAUGAACGGGAGUAAGCAUUACACCGAAGACAUGGGUUUACACUAUGUGUAAGCGGUAGCAGAGCGCUGUACAGGAGAUACAAGCCCAACGGCAACGAUGGGUCUCGGCCUGUACAGGUGAUUAUGCCGGAAUGAGUAACGAUAAAACAGGUGAGAAUCCUGUUCGCCGAAAGCCUAAGGUUUCCUGGGGAAGGUAAAUCCGCCCAGGGUUAGGCAGUACCUUAGUCGAGGCCGAAAGGCGUAGACGAUGGAUAGCAGGUUAAUAUUCCUGCCCCAACUUGUGGAGCGAUGGAGGGACGGCAACCAGAACACGUGCGGACGAUCAGAAAUGUCCGUGGAGUUCAUUGAGAUGGAGGGAUUGGAAAAUCCACCCUCAUAAUUCAAGAUGUUCGACCAACUGCCUUGAGCGGGAUUGCGUCGGAAGGUUGUCCAAGAAAAGCUUCUAAGUGUUGAAGCAAGUUGACUGUACUAAAACUGACACAGGUAGGCGGGUCGAGUAGACUAAGGCGCUCGGGAGAACGGUGGUUAAGGAACUCUGCAAAAUGGCCCCGUAAGUUCGCGAUAAGGGGUGCCCCUGAUGGUUAACGCUGUUGGGGGCCACAGUAAAUCGGCUCCUUCGACUGUUUAUCAAAAACACAGGUCUCUGCGAACACGUAAGUGGAUGUAUAGAGACUGACGCCUGCCCGGUGUUGGUAGGUUAAGGAAGACGGUUAGCCCUCGGGUGAAGCUGGCGACCGAAGCCCCAAUAAACGGCGGCCGUAACUAUGACGGUCCUAAGGUAGAAUUUUCUGCCCUCUGGUCUGGUGACAGAUCAGGUUGCACUUUGCUAUAUGCUGGAAACUCUGAGUAUCCGACAGUACUCGCUUUCGAAUUUCGAAAGCAGUGAAAAUCUGUUCGGUGCAGACAAUCAGCAGGAAACCAUUUUAUCAUUUGAGAUUUAUCUCACUUGAGAUUGAUGGGCUCCUCAGAGACUAAACGCAAAGCGACUCACUGCUGUUAAGAUCAAAGGUUAACUUUCUUUGAUUGGCAAUUGAGUUGAAGAUAUAGUCCGAGCUGCAUGGCGACAUGCAGAGGUUAACAGAAAUGUUAGCCCGCCGAUGGCAAACCUAAAUCUCUGGUUUGCAAAUGUUUUCUUUGAAAACAUGCAUGUUUCUUAGCUUAUUCAUUGGGUCUAGUUUUUUGACUAGGCCAGUACAGAUAAAUCGUUGAUUUAUGUGUGCGGUUUGGAUCUUGGCUAGAUCCGGUUAGUAGUGCUAAAUCUUUCAUGUGACUUCGGUAGUAACAUACUGAGCGAAGUUCCUUGUCGGGUAAGUUCCGACCUGCAUGAAAGGCGUAACGAGAGGAGCACUGUCUCAACCACCGACCCGGUGAAAUUGUAGUCGUGGUGAAGAUGCCACGUACCCGCGGUUAGACGGAAAGACCCCGUGAACCUUUACUGUAGGCAGAUAUUGGGCUGAGUUAUGUUUUGUGUAGGAUAGGUGGGAGACUUUGAUCCCGGCACGCCAGUGUCGGGUUAGUCGUCCUUGAAAUACCACCCUGAGUAUGAUUUAGUUCUAACUCUGACCCUUGAAUCAGGGCAGAGGACAGUUUCUGUUGGGCAGUUUGACUGGGGCGGUCUCCUCCCAAAGAGUAACGGAGGAGUUCAAAGGUACACUCAGCCUGGUUGGCAAUCAGGCGUCGAGCGCAAAGGUAGAAGUGUGCUUAACUGCGAGAGAUAUAACUCGAGCAGAUACGAAAGUAGGACUUAGUGAUCCGGUGGUUCCGAAUGGAAGGGCCAUCGCUCAUCAGAUAAAAGGUACUCCGGGGAUAACAGGCUUAUCGCAUCCGAGCGUCCAUAGCGGCGAUGCGGUUUGGCACCUCGAUGUCGGCUCAUCACAUCCUGGGGGUGAAGAAGCUCCCAAGGGUUUGGCUGUUCGCCAAUGAAAGUGGUACGUGAGCUGGGUUCAGACCGUCGUGAGACAGGUCGGUCCCUAUCUGCCGUGGGCGUACGAAACUUGAGGAGGUUCUUCUUUAGUACGAGAGGAUUUGGAAGGACGAAUCUCUGGUGUUCCAGUUGUCACGCUAGUGGCAUGGCUGGAUAGCUAUAUUCGGAAAAGAUAAACGCUGAAAGCAUCUAAGCGUGAAGCUCUCUCCAAGAUUAGGUUUCGUUGUAGCUUGCUACGAGAGUCCCCUGGAAGACUACCAGGUUGAUAGGCCAUAUGUGUAAGUGCAGUAAUGUAUUCAGCUAAAUGGUACUAACGGACGAAAGCUUGACCAC
RNAcentral lists this ribosomal RNA (2644 nucleotides) under Mariniblastus sp. RNAcentral describes it as "partial 23S ribosomal RNA". It matches the Rfam family "Bacterial large subunit ribosomal RNA", at positions 785 to 2925 of the family's 2925-position model. Lineage: Bacteria; Pseudomonadati; Planctomycetota; Planctomycetia; Pirellulales; Pirellulaceae. The record is from RNAcentral.